RNAcentral lists this ribosomal RNA (492 nucleotides) under uncultured bacterium. RNAcentral describes it as "partial 16S ribosomal RNA". It matches the Rfam family "Bacterial small subunit ribosomal RNA", at positions 29 to 507 of the family's 1533-position model. The record is from RNAcentral.
AGUGAACGCUGGCGGUAGGCCUAACACAUGCAAGUCGAACGGCAGCACAGUAAGAGCUUGCGCUUACGGGUGGCGAGUGGCGGACGGGUGAGGAAUACAUCGGAAUCUACUUUUUCGUGGGGGAUAACGUAGGGAAACUUACGCUAAUACCGCAUACGACCUACGGGUGAAAGCAGGGGAUCUUCGGACCUUGCGCGAUUGAAUGAGCCGAUGUCGGAUUAGCUAGUUGGCGGGGUAAGGGCGCACCAAGGCGACGAUCCGUAGCUGGUCUGAGAGGAUGAUCAGCCACACUGGAACUGAGACACGGUCCAGACUCCUACGGGAGGCAGCAGUGGGGAAUAUUGGACAAUGGGCGCAAGCCUGAUCCAGCCAUACCGCGUGGGUGAAGAAGGCCUUCGGGUUGUAAAGCCCUUUUGUUGGGAAAGAAAAGCAGCAGGUUAAUACCCCGCUGUUCUGACGGUACCCAAAGAAUAAGCACCGGCUAACUUCGUG